This is a non-coding RNA of Parelaphostrongylus tenuis, 76 nucleotides long. NCBI's taxonomy places the organism in Eukaryota, Metazoa, Nematoda, Chromadorea, Rhabditida, Metastrongylidae. The record is from the annotation of a GenBank genome assembly.
UUUCCGUUGAGUGCAACGGUUAGCAUACGCUCCCGGAAAGAGUGAGAUCUGGGUUCGAAUCCCGGCUGACGCAAAC